This 557-nucleotide ribosomal RNA is filed under the name Fenneralpheus orabovis. RNAcentral describes it as "partial small subunit ribosomal RNA". The record is from RNAcentral. Lineage: Eukaryota; Metazoa; Arthropoda; Malacostraca; Decapoda; Alpheidae.
GUGUGAGUGAGGAAUUGUCGGGUUAGGGUUAGAGUGAGUAGGAAUGUGUGUAAUUUAUUUGUAGGUCAUGUGAAGUGGUGAAAUAUGCUAAUUGUUUUGUUGCGUUUAAGUUAGGACGAAUGUUCGAUUCCUUUAAGAUUGGAGUAGAGACCAGGAUUAGAUACCCUGUUAUUUCUUUAAUAAUGUUAAAUACUUGGGGUAGUAAACAGAUAUAGGCUCGAAACUUAAAGAAUUUGGCGGUACUUAAGUCUAGUUAGAGGAACCUGUACAGUAAACGAUAAACCGCGAAUAUCUUAUUUUGUCUUGCGUUGGAUCAGCACGUAUACCGCCAUUACAGGUAAUCUUUGAAGGGGUUUACUGGAAUAGAGAAGUAUCUAAGAUAUUAGGUCGAGGUGCGGCUAAUGAUAAAGUUGAUAUGGGUUACAUUGAUGUUAGAAUUGCGCGGAUAAUACCGGUAAGGUCGGUCUUUAAAGUUGGAUUUAAUAGUAAGUUUGGUAAAUUACGCUUUACUGAUAUUAGCUCUUGGGUAUGUACACAUCGCCCGUCGUUCUCGCUUU